UACGAAGGGGGCUAGCGUUGUUCGGAAUUACUGGGCGUAAAGCGCACGUAGGCGGGUCGUUUAAGUCAGGGGUGAAAUCCCGGAGCUCAACUCCGGAACUGCCUUUGAUACUGGCGAUCUUGAGAUCGGAAGAGGUGAGUGGAAUUCCCAGUGUAGAGGUGAAAUUCGUAGAUAUUGGGAAGAACACCAGUGGCGAAAGGCGGCUCACUGGUCCGAUACUGCGCUGAGGUGCGAAAGCGUGGGGAGCAAACAGGAUUGAGAA
RNAcentral lists this ribosomal RNA (262 nucleotides) under uncultured bacterium. RNAcentral describes it as "partial 16S ribosomal RNA". It matches the Rfam family "Bacterial small subunit ribosomal RNA", at positions 524 to 784 of the family's 1533-position model. The record is from RNAcentral.